Molecule: long non-coding RNA, 541 nt
Filed under: Apteryx owenii (little spotted kiwi)
Lineage: Eukaryota; Metazoa; Chordata; Aves; Apterygiformes; Apterygidae
Description: lncRNA (ENSAOWG00000008589.1)
Source: RNAcentral
AUGGAGGAAUGCUUUGUCCACAUGAAGUGUCAAGAUUCUUAUGAGAAAUCAAUUCUCCUGUUUUCACACAGAUUGGAGUCCUUAUUAGCAGUGUCUUGUAGUAAGCAGAUGCUGAACACAGAAACUACUUGCGGAGACUGCCUGCUACUGCUUACCAAGUAUUUUCUUCUGGUCAGAAGGUCAGUCUAUAAAAGAUUGUCUCGAGUAGAAAGAUCAGCAUUCCAGCUAGAGCAGCACUAGAGCUUAUUCUACCAAGAUGAGAAAGUUGGAGAGCAAUGGAUCUUCACUAGCAACUCUCACCGCUGUCCUGUGCGAAGAGACCUCAUGUAAAGCUAAGCCUGAACUGUAAUCAGCAGUGCAAGCAAGUUUGAUUUUUUCCUUUUAAAAUUACCAAGAUAAGUAAGCAUUCAGGAAGGCAUCUGACUGAUCCCACAUGAAUGGCAUACCCCAGGAAUAAUCUCUGACUGGUGGUUUUGUUCUCAGAAUAAGCGCAUGAUGUCUGGAUCCUGAGUAGCAAUAAAGUGAAACUACAAAUAAACCA